UGAACUUAAGCAUAUCAAUAAGCGGAGGAAAAGAAACCAACAGGGAUUGCCCUAGUAACGGCGAGUGAAGCGGCAACAGCUCAAAUUUGAAAUCUGGCCUCGGCCCGAGUUGUAAUUUGUAGAGGCGGCUUUUGGUGCGGCACCUACUGAGUCCCCUGGAACGGGGCGCCAUAGAGGGUGAGAGCCCCGUAUAGUAGGAUGCCUAGCCUGUGUAAAGCCCCUUCGACGAGUCGAGUAGUUUGGGAAUGCUGCUCUAAAUGGGAGGUAAAUUUCUUCUAAAGCUAAAUAUUGGCCAGAGACCGAUAGCGCACAAGUAGAGUGAUCGAAAGAUGAAAAGCACUUUGAAAAGAGGGUUAAACAGCACGUGAAAUUGUUGAAAGGGAAGCGCUUGUGACCAGACUUGCGCCGGGCGGAUCAUCCGGUGUUCUCACCGGUGCACUCCGCCCGGCUCAGGCCAGCAUCGGUUCUCGUGGGGGGAUAAAGGCUCUGGGAACGUGGCUCCUUCGGGAGUGUUAUAGCCCAGGGUGCAAUGCCCUCGUGGGGACCGAGGUUCGCGCAUCUGCAAGGAUGCUGGCGUAAUGGUCAUCAGCGACCCGUCUUGAAACACGGACCAAGGAGUCAAGGUUUUGCGCGAGUGUUUGGGUGUCAAACCCGCACGCGUAAUGAAAGUGAACGUAGGUGAGAGCUUCGGCGCAUCAUCGACCGAUCCUGAUGUAUUCGGAUGGAUUUGAGUAGGAGCGUUAAGCCUUGGACCCGAAAGAUGGUGAACUAUGCUUGGAUAGGGUGAAGCCAGAGGAAACUCUGGUGGAGGCUCGCAGCGGUUCUGACGUGCAAAUCGAUCGUCAAAUCUGAGCAUGGGGGCGAAAGACUAAUCGAACCAUCUAGUAGCUGGUUACCGCCGAAGUUUCCCUCAGGAUAGCAGUGUUGUUCUUCAGUUUUAUGAGGUAAAGCGAAUGAUUAGGGACUCGGGGGCGCUAUAUAGCCUUCAUCCAUUCUCAAACUUUAAAUAUGUAAGAAGCCCUUGUUACUUAAUUGAACGUGGGCAUUCGAAUGUACCAACACUAGUGGGCCAUUUUUGGUAAGCAGA
Molecule: ribosomal RNA, 1087 nt
Filed under: Cercophora sparsa
Lineage: Eukaryota; Fungi; Ascomycota; Sordariomycetes; Sordariales; Lasiosphaeriaceae
Description: eukaryotic LSU rRNA
Rfam family: Eukaryotic large subunit ribosomal RNA
Source: RNAcentral